Non-coding RNA from Zootermopsis nevadensis, 813 nucleotides. Lineage: Eukaryota; Metazoa; Arthropoda; Insecta; Blattodea; Termopsidae. The record is from RefSeq and is a predicted model, not a curated record.
CAACAACCCAGAAGACAGCUAUUUGCAAAUUACAUUUCCUUUCGUUAAACCCGUCACGGAAAUAUGGUAUUGCUGAAAUUUCGUUCCUGGCGGCGUAUUGAAAUUCAUUCGUCUUUCGUCAUGGAAGCAGCGGUGGCAUACGUAGUCUUCCAUUCACAUGGAAAUUCAUUGUUUACGUCUUUAGUUCACGUAUGACACUUGACUGUUUGUAGGUUAUCGGCGUUUUGGUUUGAAUAGUUUAAAUUUUGUGAUCUUGUAUCGUGUUGGUGGCCGUAACUGAAGUCAAAGGGUCACUGUCAGUGUAUUAAACAGAAUAAAUUUUGUCAUAGAAUAGCUGUAUCUAAAGCAUAUUUAUUUUUGUGUUUGUAAAAGGUUCAAAGUAGAGGUCUUCCGGCGAUCUGUCCUAUUGUAUGUUUGUGGUUUUGGCACAAUGGCCACGGUUAUUGGUUUAGCUGGCUUUGCACCACGCAGUCCUGUUCUUAAAUUCUAUACAUAAUUUUACUUUACGGGGCAUUUGUGAGGUUCAGCUGUAUUUUGAGACGAAGUUUGAUGGAUGUUAAACGUUUGGGAAGUUCAGUUUGAGAUUUCUGGUUCUCACGACGGUAAAACCUAAUUGGCAGGUUUAAUUUUAAUUAGAUACUUUUGUUUAAUAUAUGCUAUUUUUAUUACAACUUAAUUAAUUUUAUUUUUAAAUUUGUUUAGUGUCAGAAUGCUAAUGCUGUCGAUGUUCAGUUAUAUGACUCAUAUAAACAAGCACUUGAAUAUAUAUUGUCUUCUAAAUAUUGUAAUAAUAAAUCGAUGUAGUAAUUCGUA